GUACCCUUCUCUACGGAAUAGCCUCGGGAAACUGAGAGUAUUACCGUAUACGCCCUUCGGGGGAAAGAUUUAUCGGAGAAGGAUCAGCCCGCGUAAGAUUAGAUAGUUGGUGGGGUAAUGGCCUACCAAGUCUACGAUCUUUAGCUGGUUUUAGAGGAUGAUCAGCAACACUGGGACUGAGACACGGCCCAGACUCCUACGGGAGGCAGCAGUGGGGAAUCUUGGACAAUGGGCGCAAGCCUGAUCCAGCCAUGCCGCGUGUGUGAUGAAGGCCUUAGGGUCGUAAAGCACUUUCGCUAGAGAUGAUAAUGACAGUUUCUAGUAAAGAAGUCCCGGCUAACUCCGUGCCAGCAGCCGCGGUAAUACGGAGGGGACUAGCGUUGUUCGGAAUUACUGGGCGUAAAGCGUACGUAGUCGGAUCAGAAAGUAUGGGGUGAAAUCCCGGGUUUCAUCCCUGGAACUGCCUCAUAAACUCCUGGUCUAGAGUUCGAGAGAGGUGAGUGGAAUUCCGAGUGUAUAG
RNAcentral lists this ribosomal RNA (520 nucleotides) under uncultured Alphaproteobacteria bacterium. RNAcentral's name for it is "bacterial SSU rRNA". It matches the Rfam family "Bacterial small subunit ribosomal RNA", at positions 126 to 680 of the family's 1533-position model. Lineage: Bacteria; Pseudomonadati; Pseudomonadota; Alphaproteobacteria. The record is from RNAcentral.